GGAGAAGUGGUGGCUGCUGGCAGUACUGUGCCCACCAGGGGCCCAGGAACAUUGUGGGACCCCAAACAUAAGCCAAAUCUGCUGUCAGCACACAAGAGAAAGAAAUACCUCUUCAGAGUAGGAUACUAGACAGAGCAAGUUGACCACAGAACGCAAGGCCAACAGUGAGAGCUGAAAAGAGAAGACAAGGUGAACAGAUUAAAGCAGCUUGUACACAGCGAGACCAUUAACACUGCAGUUUUUCGAUGCAUGGGUUAUGCUGCAACACACAAACAGAACCUGUCAGAGUUGCUAUGGCUGGCUGCCAGAAAUAUCUGGUUAAAAAGAAAUGUCAGGAUUCAUCAAUGCUUGCGUGGUCUUCAUGUUGUUCAAAAGCACUUGCGAUAACACUAAACUCAGGCCAUAGGUUCUAGAAGGAGGGAGGAACUGAGGAGCUCCAUCCUUCUAAUGUCUGGGCAUGAGGCUUCAUUUAACCCUGCUGGUAGAGAAGAAAGGGGGAUCUUGUGAUGCAGUGGUAGUGCCCCUACCUCUGGACCAGAAGUUCUGGUUUCAAGUCCCAGUUCAGGAGGAUGGCUAUUGUAAGGCAAGUUCAAAAAUUGAGAAAACAGAUUGAUUAUCAACCUGUAAAUCCUUCCAAUACACUUGAUUGCAGGUGGUAACGGUGGGACAAUUUCCUGGUCAGCCAUACUACAGAAGGCAAUGGCAAACCAC
Molecule: long non-coding RNA, 711 nt
Organism: Carcharodon carcharias (great white shark)
Lineage: Eukaryota; Metazoa; Chordata; Chondrichthyes; Lamniformes; Lamnidae
Exons: 3
Source: RefSeq, a predicted model, not a curated record